This 427-nucleotide unclassified non-coding RNA is filed under the name Hevea brasiliensis (rubber tree). Lineage: Eukaryota; Viridiplantae; Streptophyta; Magnoliopsida; Malpighiales; Euphorbiaceae. The record is from RNAcentral.
UGUGGCCCCGCCCCUGUCUGCAAGUACUCAUCUGAUGCUUUGAGGACCGUGCAAGUCAAGGAUCAAUUUCAAAUGAGAUGCUUGUACAGGGGAUUGGUUUGUGUUGCAUCUAAGAAGUCUGUCAACUGAAUUGCAAAUAUUUGGAGGUGAGCAGUUAAAUGCUGAAUGGUCAUGUGUAAGUUGUUAGUAAGAUUGAACAACAAAGUUCAGACAUUGCACUUGUGCCUGGUUGUGCUCUGUCUAUCCAAGAUAAAAAGUAAAUUGUUAGUGAAAAUAUCAUUAUAUUAUAAAGAAAAUUGUAUAUACAAGAUAAAUGAUAUUGCUUGGUACACAAAGGACAAUGAUUGCACAGUUGGAAAUGCUUCUUUUGCUGUUUUCCCCUGUUAUGUUAAAUGUGUAAUAUGUGAUGUACUGUUAAAAUUCAUAG